Molecule: transfer RNA, 296 nt
Filed under: Aureimonas pseudogalii
Lineage: Bacteria; Pseudomonadati; Pseudomonadota; Alphaproteobacteria; Hyphomicrobiales; Aurantimonadaceae
Description: tRNA-Arg
Source: RNAcentral
GUCUGCGUAGCUCAGCAGGAUAGAGCACAGGAUUCCUGAUGCAAAUUGGGCGGUGCGGUUCGAAAGUCCGCAUCGGAUCUGCUCAAAUUCGGGGAAGGCUUCGCGCAACUCGCGCCGAUGCGGAUCCCGAGCCAAGCCGGCACUGCCGGAAGGUGUAGAGACUGGUAGGGCAGCACCUACGGGCUUCGGUCUAGGGUGAAGGGACAGUCCAGACCACGAACGCCCGCAAGGCGGCGGCGAAAGUCGAAGUGGUAUGAAUCCUGGGGUCGUGGGUUCGAAUCCCGCCGCAGACACCA